This 468-nucleotide ribosomal RNA is filed under the name uncultured bacterium. RNAcentral's name for it is "partial 16S ribosomal RNA". It matches the Rfam family "Bacterial small subunit ribosomal RNA", at positions 28 to 507 of the family's 1533-position model. The record is from RNAcentral.
GACGAACGCUGGCGGCGUGCUUAACACAUGCAAGUCGAACGGAAAGGCCCUGCUUUUGUAGGGUGCUCGAGCGGCGAACGGGUGAGUAACACGUGAGUAACCUGCCCUUGACUUUGGGAUAACUUCAGGAAACUGGGGCUAAUACCGGAUAGGAGCUCCUGCUGCAUGGUGGGGGUUGGAAAGUUUCGGCGGUUGGGGAUGGACUCGCGGCUUAUCAGCUUGUUGGUGGGGUAGUGGCUUACCAAGGCUUUGACGGGUAGCCGGCCUGAGAGGGUGACCGGCCACAUUGGGACUGAGGUACGGCCCAGACUCCUACGGGAGGCAGCAGUGGGGAAUAUUGCACAAUGGGCGGAAGCCUGAUGCAGCAACGCCGCGUGCGGGAUGACGGCCUUCGGGUUGUAAACCGCUUUCGCCUGUGACGAAGCGUGAGUGACGGUAAUGGGUAAAGAAGCACCGGCUAACUACGUG